GCGACCCCAGGUCAGGCGGGACUACCCGCUGAAUUUAAGCAUAUAAAUAAGCGGAG
This 56-nucleotide ribosomal RNA is filed under the name Polypogon viridis. RNAcentral describes it as "partial 26S ribosomal RNA". The record is from RNAcentral. RNAcentral also lists the same sequence under 3 other names. Lineage: Eukaryota; Viridiplantae; Streptophyta; Magnoliopsida; Poales; Poaceae.